UCCCUGCUAACUCAGCUAGUGAAGAAUCUGCCUGAAACGCAGGAGACCUGGGUUCGAUUCCUGGGUUGGGAA
This 72-nucleotide transfer RNA is filed under the name Bos taurus (domestic cattle). It matches the Rfam family "tRNA". From Rfam's summary of the family: Transfer RNA (tRNA) molecules are approximately 80 nucleotides in length. Their secondary structure includes four short double-helical elements and three loops (D, anti-codon, and T loops). Lineage: Eukaryota; Metazoa; Chordata; Mammalia; Artiodactyla; Bovidae. RNAcentral also lists the same sequence under 3 other names. The record is from Rfam by way of RNAcentral.